GUAAAUCUUCAUAAGAAUAUGCAUAGCAGAAUCACUGAAUCUAUCACAGUUCUCAUGAUCAAUUAUUAAGUUUAGAUUCCAUUUUGUGGCUACUAGUUGCCACAACUAGUGGGUCUGAAAUCAUCUGUUAGCACAGGGAAAUUAAUGGCCCAGUGUUGCAGCUCCUUAGCACAGAAGGUCUGUGGACUUGAAUGGGAGUUCUCAAAUUGUAGCUGAAACAUAAAAGUUUUCAUUUUGGAUUGAUCCUGAUGCAUUUUGUCCUAGGAAAUCUUUCAUUUUUAUAUAUAAAGAAGUUGUAGUUAUUUAUUUUUUCUAGCUACUUGAAGGGUCUUCAGAAAAAAAAAAAAAGUAUUCCUUGUUUUGUUCUUAAAUCUGGUACUUUUCAUGAAAAACAGGCCUAAUACCAGGACGCAUUAUGUGAACAUUUAAAAUGUUCUCUGCUUUGUUCUCUCUUAGAUCCAAGUUUUGUUAUUUGUGUACAAAGACAACCAGAUCCUCAACAAUACUGAACUUUAACUGAAAAGUCCAGACCAGAGUUUAGAGAAACCUGUAUAUUCUCCCCACAAAAGUAGUUGUUGCCAAUAGUUUGUAUGAUUGACCAUGCGUGUACUUUUCUUACCUUAUGUUGCAACCAACAAUAUGUCUGUGUUGUGAAAGAUUGGCUGUUUUUUGGGAUGGAUCUCCUACCCUUUCACCUGACAGUCAGGUUCCCUUUAACCAGCUCUCAAACAUAAUUCCAACUAGACCAAGGCAGAGCAAUAACCCAAAGCUUUCUUCUCUUUUCUUUCUUCUCCAGGUUCUCCCUGAUGAUUGACUGGCUCACUGCAGACAGCCUGAGAAGUUAAGAAAUGUACUUUUGAUCUUUUUGUAACAUCAGCGAAAUGAAAUUAGCGGGAAUAGUUUUAACUUCACAAUUUGCUGGAAGACAAAGGAAACAACAACCACCAAUUGGAAAGAGCCCUGCUGCUCUUCAGGACAUGCAGGAAUUAGUAGACAGAAGUGGAAGAAACUUUUUUUUUUCCUCUGACAGGACAACUGGAUCAGAGACUGAAGCAGGGAAAGUACGGAAGAGACAACAACAAGCUGUGUUGCCUUGAUGCAGAAGUGGAAACAAACAGCCAGAAAAUUCAGCACAGAAAUGAAGCUUUAAAAACAGAGAAAAGUCUGUCCAGUGCUUCUUUCUUUUAUGCUGUGGUGUUGUGGUUGCUGUUUUCCGUGAAGAAAAUGUGAAUAAGAACUUUUUCCUAGUUUACACUAUGUUGAUCUUUGUAUGUUGUAAGAUCAUGAAGAAAGGUCUAAGAUGCUAUGGUGACUCUGGCUUUAAGAGCCUGAGAAAUCACUAAAAACACUUUUUGAUUUGAAUGAAACAAACCCUUCCUUAAUCUUUAGCUAGAAGUAUAGUGUUUUUUUGUUCCAUUAAUAGGAUAUAUAUUACCAAAUAUUGCCGUACUAUCCAUGGUCCACAGAUCUGUGUGGACCAAGUCAUAAAGUGUUUUAAACAAAGCAAUAGAGCCUGUGCAUAAAAACAGAAAUGUGGUUGUCAUCAGGUGCUUACAAUACAUAUAAAAUGAUCUCUUUAGAAUAAAAUUUACCCAUCUGCAGAAGAAUGGGAUGAC
This is a long non-coding RNA of Anser cygnoides (Swan goose), 1616 nucleotides long. NCBI's taxonomy places the organism in Eukaryota, Metazoa, Chordata, Aves, Anseriformes, Anatidae. The record is from Ensembl.